UCAGGAAAACAGAAAGCUCAACUAUGGACUAGAUGACAUUUCUCUUUGUCAGUUAGAUAAAUAAAUAAAAGACCCAUCCAAUAAGGAUCAUGUUCCAGAAGAACCUGCCCUACAUGGUUAUUGAUCCAAAAGAGGAAGAGCUCCAUUCUCUUUAUACAUUCAAUUCUCUCCACAGUAGAGCUGUCAGAGGCUGAGGGAACAUGUCAACCUGUUUUCUGAACUUCACAAUGUAACCAGGGCAGUUUAAUUUUAUGUAGUGGUAGAGCACUGGAACAGUUUGCCAAAGAAUGUAAUGAUUUUCACUCUGGAGACAUUCAAAACCCAUCUGGGCACAUUCCUGUGCAACCUGCUCUAGAGGUGACCCUGCCUCAACAGGAGUUUGGGCUGGAUGCACUCCAGAGGUCCCUUACAACCCUAAAAGUUCUGUGAUUUGUAAUUCUGUGUAAACCACUAGAAGGCAAUCUAGGCUCAGUCGUCUCUAGAAAUGCCAAGCUCAGCCUCAGAGAUUCCCAGCAGUGCAGUAGUAUCUAUCAGCAUUGCUUUGAACCAAACUUAAAGGACUGUUUCAAUUAGAAAUAAAAUUUCCUUACUCAUUUACAUUAUCCUCCAUGUUCACAGGACAAUACAUUCCUCACAUACACUUUUAUUAAGCUUCUCACAUGUAAUUAAGCAUACAUUCUACAUUUGACAUGAUAGCAAGUUUGUCAGGAGCCAACUUUUUUCCUCCAGACACUUGUAGCAGUUGAAGUUUCAUGGAUUUCACACAAAUGUAGCAAAACUUGUUUCCAGUUCUAAGCACGGUGAUAAAAUGUCCUAGCCACGUGGCAGAAACACAUGAAACAAGAAAUUUGAGGAGUACAGCAGACAAAACAAGAUGUAGGAGGGCACAUCUUUUAGGAGACCUAUGCUGAGUGGUGACACUCUGCACCUCUCAAAACAGACUUCUGGGAACAGGAACAGAUGUAUUCUUGAGGUACAGGCCUUAAAUACAUAAAAAAAGAGUAAGAUGGUGUAGCAGAUGUUUUCAGGGUCCAGCCUACAAGGAAAACAACAUUAGAAUACAGGAGCAAUUCUUUUGAUGACUAAAAAUUAACCACUUCUGGAGUCAGGCUUUUUCUUCCAUUCCAUGCUUUGUUAGUAUGACUGUGACACCACCACAUGUGAAUGAAGAUGAAUCUAUUUGUGACUGGUCAAAUGUUCAAGAGAGUGUAAUCUUACCACAGUGACGUCCUGUGCAAAAAACAAGACUGAAAAUGUUAUGGUGACUGAACCAAACCAGCACUAUGAGGCAUCUUGCUUCCAUCUGCAUUGGUCAGAAGUUUCUGAGGUGGACAAUGCACAGACAGAUGGCAGACACUUCUUUCAGUCCCCCAAGAUUUGUGGAUGACACGAAUGGAGCUGCACAGCUACAGCAAUUCCUGAACAGUACAAGCACAGGCUUCUUCAGCCCUGUUAGUAAAGACUCCAAUCCUCAGGCAAGAGACUGACCCUGUCAAAAAUGUGAAGAAACAGUGCUGAGCUGCAGCUAGAUUAUAGUUGGAGAAGAUUAGGAAGAAGAGACUGCACUGCAGAAAUGGGAUUGUUUCAAACGAACUUUCAGUAUGUAACCUUACAAUGGAAUUAAAAGGUUUACUUGAGUGACUCUGGAAUGACUCCCAGCCUCCCUCAGAAAACAAGUCUGCUUUUCUGCACUCUUAAAGCAAAACCUCUUAACACACCAUCCCAGAGCUUACAUCUCCAAAAAGCAGCUCCAGAAAAGUCCACCAUCCCCGCUCUAUGUUAGCAGGUCCCACCAUGAGACUGACACUGAGAUUUUAAGAACAAAGCAAAUUCAAUUACACAUUAAGCUGAAUUACAUAUUGUGAUAUCUAAAAUUAAAAAAACACCCUCUGUAAUUUUAGCAGUAUCUUCAUAACAGCAACAAAAUCUUCAUUGCCUGUGGUACACAGUAGCUCCCACUAUGUAAUUACUAAGUUCAUGCCUGGAUUUGGUGUAGCACAGUUCCAUCAUUUAGUAUCAAGGGCAGAAGUACAGAAGCAACCAAGCAGCACACAAUUUGAUGCAAGCAACAAGGAUUUAGGGCAAAUACUUCACAAAAUUCAUUCUUGAAGAUAUUCCAAAGCUAUCUGGACAUGGUCAUUAAGGUGGACAUGGAUAUCAAGCACCAGUAGUCUUUAGUAGCUUUAUUGAUGGCACAGAUCAAUAGUAGCAUCAACUGCAUGUUCAGCAAGUUUGUAGAUGACACAAAGCUAAGCUGUGUAGGUGACAAAACAGAAGGACAAGAUGCCAUUCAGAAGGACCUGAAGAAACUCGAGAAGUGGGCCCAUGUGAACCUCAUCAAGUUCAACAGAUCCAAGUGCAAGGUGCUGCACCUGAGUCAGGGCAAUCCCAGAUACAAGUACAGGCUGGGAGAAGUCCUUGAGAGCAGCCCUGCAGAGAAGGACUUGGUUGGAUAAAAAGCCGGACAUGAGCAAACAGUGUGCACUUACAGCCCAGACAGCCAAAUGCAUCCUGGGCUGCACUGAAAGCACAGUGACCAGCAGAUCAAAGGAGGCGAUUCUCCACCUCUAUACUGCCCUUGUGAGACACCCCCUAAAGCACUGCAUCCAGCUCUGAAGUUCUUGGCAAAGAAGGGCAUUGACCUGCUAGAGCUGACCUAAAGAAGGGUCACAAAGAUGAUCUCUCUAAGAGAGAUCCUACAAAGACAGGAUGAGAAAAUUGGGGCUGUUCAGACUGAAGAGGACUCCAGGGAAGCCUCACUGCAGGCUUCCAGUAUGUAAAGGGGGCUUUUAAAAGAGGAAAAACAACUUUUUACACAGGUAGACAGUGGCAGGACA
Cyanistes caeruleus (blue tit) is the source of this 2837-nucleotide non-coding RNA. The record is from RefSeq and is a predicted model, not a curated record. NCBI's taxonomy places the organism in Eukaryota, Metazoa, Chordata, Aves, Passeriformes, Paridae.